CUUCUUCGAUCUGCUGCGGGCAAAUGAAGUGGAUAUGCGAGUCGAUCCCGCCAGCUGUGAGGAUCAUGCCUUCACCGGCGAUAACUUCGGUGCCUGCGCCAACUGCGAUGGUGACAUCGGGCUGGAUGUCGGCGUUGCCGCCUUUACCGAUUGCCGCAAUGCGCCCGUCCUUGAGGCCCACGUCGGCUUUGACGAUGCCCCAGUGAUCGAUGAUCAGCGCGUUGGUGAUCAGCGUAUCGACCACAUCUUUGGCGCACAACUGGCCCUGGCCCAUGCCGUCACGGAUG
This is a non-coding RNA of Vibrio sp., 287 nucleotides long. The record is from Rfam. NCBI's taxonomy places the organism in Bacteria, Pseudomonadati, Pseudomonadota, Gammaproteobacteria, Vibrionales, Vibrionaceae.